This is a non-coding RNA of Archaeoglobus profundus DSM 5631, 313 nucleotides long. It matches the Rfam family "Archaeal signal recognition particle RNA". The record is from Rfam. NCBI's taxonomy places the organism in Archaea, Methanobacteriati, Methanobacteriota, Archaeoglobi, Archaeoglobales, Archaeoglobaceae.
CGGUGGGCUAGGCCGGGGGGUUCGGCGUCCCCUGUAACCCGAAACCGUCGAUAUGCGGGGGCCGAAGCCGAGGGAAGGUCCGCCAAACGGGAGUAACCGUUCGGCAAAGCCUUGCAGAAUCCCCGUCCCGAGGGGUCGGCGGUCACGGUUGGAGCAUCUGGAGGGAUGCUCCGCCGUGUUUACCGGGGGAACCGGCCCAGGCCCGGAAGGGAGCAGGCUUACCCCGGACGACCGGCGCUCUCGGGGGUGCGGGGAGGAGAGGCUUUGCCGAAUGGGCUCCCGCAAGGCGGAUCGACCCGAGGCGUGCCCACCA